Molecule: ribosomal RNA, 1108 nt
Filed under: metagenome
Description: bacterial LSU rRNA
Rfam family: Bacterial large subunit ribosomal RNA
Source: RNAcentral
UUAGCCGAGGUCACUGAUGGAAUAGUGGCUCGAAGGGUGUAGGAGGAGUGGUAGGCAAAUCCGCCACUCGAAACUCCGAGACCUGACAGGCUCCCGAAGCUCUUCGGAGCGGAGGGGGAAUCGGUGAUACCGUCGGGCCGAGAAAAGCCUCUAAGCCGUUUGAGCUGUUAGUAGCCCGUACCGCAAACCGACACAGGUAGGCGGGAUGAGUAUUCUAAGGCGCGUGGAAGAACCCUCCCUAAGGAACUCGGCAAACUGGCACCGUAACUUCGGGAUAAGGUGUGCCCCGAGUAGGUGAAGGAGCUUAGCCUCCGGAGCCGAAAGGGGUCGCAGCGCAGCGCUCUUGCCGACUGUUUACCAAAAACACAGCACUCUGCUAACUCGUAAGAGGAAGUAUAGGGUGUGACGCCUGCCCGGUGCCGGAAGGUUAAGGGGAUCCGUUAGCCGUAAGGCGAAGCGGUGAACCGAAGCCCCGGUAAACGGCGGCCGUAACUAUAACGGUCCUAAGGUAGCGAAAUUCCUUGUCGGUUAAAUACCGACCUGCAUGAAUGGCGUAACGAGAUGGGAGCUGUCUCAACCAGGGAUCCAGUGAAAUUGUAGUGGAGGUGAAAAUUCCUCCUACCCGCGGCAAGACGGAAAGACCCCGUGCACCUUUACUAUAGCUUGACACUGCAAUUGGGAUAUAUUUGUGCAGGAUAGGUGGGAGGCUUUGAUGGUGUGGCGCUAGCUGCAUCGGAGCCAUCCUUGAGAUACCACCCUUAUAUAUUCUGAUUGCUAACUUGCGCCAGUUAUCCUGGCGGAGGACAAUGUCUGGUGGGUAGUUUGACUGGGGCGGUCGCCUCCUAAAAAGUAACGGAGGCUUACAAAGGUUGGCUCAUAUCGGUUGGAAAUCGAUAGCAGAGUAUAAUGGUACAAGCCAGCUUAACUGCGAGACGUACAUGUCGAGCAGAGACGAAAGUCGGUCAUAGUGAUCCGGUGGUUCUGUGUGGAAGGGCCAUCGCUCAAAGGAUAAAAGGUACGCCGGGGAUAACAGGCUGAUCUCCCCCAAGAGCUCACAUCGACGGGGAGGUUUGGCACCUCGAUGUCGGCUCAUCGCAUCCUGGGGCUG